Molecule: unclassified non-coding RNA, 175 nt
Filed under: fungal sp.
Lineage: Eukaryota; Fungi
Description: partial internal transcribed spacer region
Rfam family: Eukaryotic small subunit ribosomal RNA (bases 1-46)
Source: RNAcentral
AAGUCGUAACAAGGUUUCCGUAGGUGAACCUGCGGAAGGAUCAUUAGAAAAAUUUUCUCCCGUUUUUAUGGGAGUUAUUUGUAUUCAAUUCCACCCUUAAAAAUUUUAAAGCAUAUAAACUUUAUAUAUAAUAAAUAAAUAAAGAUAACUUUCAACAACGGAUCUCUUGGCUCUC